Molecule: long non-coding RNA, 1471 nt
Filed under: Dromaius novaehollandiae (emu)
Lineage: Eukaryota; Metazoa; Chordata; Aves; Casuariiformes; Dromaiidae
Description: lncRNA (ENSDNVG00000014068.1)
Source: RNAcentral
AUGGCGCCUCAAGGGGGAUCGAGGAGCCCUGAGGGGGUCGUGGUGCCUCGAGGGGGAUCGAGGAGCCCUGAGGGGGAUCGAGGAGCCCUGAGGGGGUCACGAUGCCCCGAGAGGAUCGAGGCCUCCUGAGGGGGAUCGAGGCGCCCUGAGGGGCAUCAAGGCACCCUGAGGGGAGCAUGGCGCCUCAAGGGGGAUCGAGGCGGCCUGAGGGGGAUCGAGGCACCCUAAGGGGAUCGAGGCGCCUCGAGGGGGAUCGUGGCACCUUGAGGGAGACCGAGGUGUCCUGAGGGGGAUCACGACGCCCUGACGGGAUCGCGGCGCCCUGAGGGGGGGUCACAUCUUGUUACCUCCCCGUUUUUCCAGGCUGGGAGCAAGAGGGAAAGGAAAAGUCUGGUUCUGAGGGGAAGAGGACCAGGGGGCUUUGCUGGCGGGCAGCUGCCCUGCAGGCCGGCCCGGCACUGUGUGAGGGUCUCCGUGACUCGGGUGUCCCAAACGUGGGGAACAAAGUUAGACGUGCUGGUGGUGCUCGCCUGUGUCACGCUACCAAGCAGGAGCCACCGCGGUCRGAGCGGUGGAGAACAGCCUGAAGAUCCCUCCACCUUCUCCGCUGCACGCUUACCCCGUUGCCCGCCGCGCUUUCCAGGUUAACUAGGCUUUGCGGCCAGCGCCUCAUCGCUUUGAGUCACCCGUGGAGUUUUGGGGAGACGAGCUGAGCUGGGCCAACGGGGCGACAGGCCAAGCCGUGGUCCGCGUGUGCAGCAAGAGUGGCUGCGGUGUUUUGCAGCUAGCUCCAGGGACACUUCUUACCUGCGGCCUGCAGAAAUCUGCACCCAGGCAAAGAGUUACAGCCCGCCUUUAUCAAGAUCCCCUGGUUGCACACAAUUCYGCCCUUUUUAAGAAAAGAAGCAAACAGAGGAGCGAUGAGGCGCAGCUCGGCGCCAAGGGGACCGUCCCUCCCCGCGGCGGCGGGCUGCGAUGUGUUUGCGCAGCGGCAGAGGGUGCCAGCCGGCCGGGAGAGGCGUCUUCCUCGCUGGUGGUGUGACGGGACAGGAACUGCGUGCAGGAGCCCCGCGCUGCACGGCGGGGACGCGCAAGAGAUGAGCAGCCCCUGGUUACAUACUUAAAGAAAACAUCACGCCUGGCAGGUUUCACCGCGUGAUCACUCGUAUGGAAAUGCGCUUUACCUUUCCUGACCAGAUCGGGCUGGAGCCCUGCAGCGCGGCGAGACGCCCCCGCGUCCCGGCACCGCGGAGAGCCUCGCCGAAGCGCCCGGAUCGGAGCCUGGCAUCCGAGGUCCCCAGCGGCCCUGGCCGGCUCCACGCAGCACAGAACUAGGGAUAGGUUGCGUGUGCGCCUUGUGUGUUUCUUUCUUUUGUGUCUUUCUUGUGUAUUUCUUUCUUCUCCAUCACUCAGAUUUGGCUGAACCUCUUUUUUUAAUAAAAAUUAAAAUUAUUUUAAUAAAAAAUAAAAA